This 508-nucleotide ribosomal RNA is filed under the name uncultured bacterium. Its description in RNAcentral is "partial 16S ribosomal RNA". It matches the Rfam family "Bacterial small subunit ribosomal RNA", at positions 28 to 523 of the family's 1533-position model. The record is from RNAcentral.
GAUGAACGCUAGCUACAGGCUUAACACAUGCAAGUCGAGGGGAAACGAUAUUGGAAGCUUGCUUCCGAUAGGCGUCGACCGGCGCACGGGUGAGUAACGCGUAUCCAACCUGCCCACCACUUGGGGAUAACCUUGCGAAAGUAAGACUAAUACCCAAUGACGUCUCUAGAAGACAUCUGAAAGAGAUUAAAGAUUUAUCGGUGAUGGAUGGGGAUGCGUCUGAUUAGCUUGUUGGCGGGGUAACGGCCCACCAAGGCGACGAUCAGUAGGGGUUCCGAGAGGAAGGUCCCCCACAUUGGAACUGAGACACGGUCCAAACUCCUACGGGAGGCAGCAGUGAGGAAUAUUGGUCAAUGGGCGAGAGCCUGAACCAGCCAAGUAGCGUGCAGGAUGACGGCCCUAUGGGUUGUAAACUGCUUUUAUAAGGGAAUAAAGUGAGUCUCGUGAGGCUUUUUGCAUGUACCUUAUGAAUAAGGACCGGCUAAUUCCGUGCCAGCAGCCGCCGUAA